Molecule: non-coding RNA, 73 nt
Organism: Protopterus annectens (West African lungfish)
Lineage: Eukaryota; Metazoa; Chordata; Ceratodontiformes; Protopteridae
Source: the annotation of a RefSeq genome assembly
GCUGAAAUAGCUCAGUUGGGAGAGUGUUAGACUGAAGAUCUAAAGGUCCCUGGUUCAAGUGUGUGUUUUAGCA